UGGGGGAUAGCCCGGCGAAAGCUGGGGUAAGCCCGCAUGGUCUUAUGGAGGUGGCAUCAUCUUAUAAGUAAAACAGCGAUGUGGUUUGGGAGGGAUUUGCGUCUGAUUAGCUAGUUGGGGGGGUAGUGGCCCACCAAGGCGAUGAUCAGUAGGGGCUCUGAGAGGAGGGUCCCCCACAUGGGCACUGAGACACGGGCCCAACUCCUACGGGAGGCAGCAGUAGGGAAUAUUGGGCAAUGGACGCAAGUCUGACCCAGCCAUGCCGCGUGCAGGAAGACGGCCCUCUGGGUUGUAAACUGCUUUUAUCAGGGAAGAAGAGUGGGCAUGCGUGCCCAUGUGACGGUACCUGAGGAAUAAGCACCGGCUAACUCCGUGCCAGCAGCCGCGGUAAUACGGAGGGUGCAAGCGUUGUCCGGAUUUAUUGGGUUUAAAGGGUGCGUAGGUGGCCUUUUAAGUCAGCUUUGAAAGCUGGUCGCUUAACGAUCAGGGGUGGGUUGAUACUGGAAGGCUUGGAUCAGGUGGCGGUUUCUGGAACGGGUCGUGUAGCGGUGAAAUGCAUAGAUAUGACCCAGA
RNAcentral lists this ribosomal RNA (573 nucleotides) under uncultured Bacteroidota bacterium. RNAcentral's name for it is "bacterial SSU rRNA". It matches the Rfam family "Bacterial small subunit ribosomal RNA", at positions 137 to 705 of the family's 1533-position model. Lineage: Bacteria; Pseudomonadati; Bacteroidota. The record is from RNAcentral.